RNAcentral lists this long non-coding RNA (1335 nucleotides) under Cottoperca gobio. Its description in RNAcentral is "lncRNA (ENSCGOG00000010411.1)". Lineage: Eukaryota; Metazoa; Chordata; Actinopteri; Perciformes; Bovichtidae. The record is from RNAcentral.
CCGCGGCGCCGAGGUGGAAAUGCGCUCUCACCGUAGAUCCCAACGAGACGCAUCUUAAUCCAACGACAACUUCGCUCAGGGCGCACACGAAGAGGAGGGUGCUGGUGAAGACGAUGCACAGUCCUUUCCCACUCAACUUCAUUAUAUUCCACCUCUGCCGCUCUCGAGCCCUCUUUCCCCUUCUUCAUCCUCCUUCGUCUCCUCUGGAAGCACUCUCACAUUGGGACAUCAUCUGCCGGUGACUCCUCCGGUUCAGAGCGGGCAAUCCUCGCCACUGUGGCGUCUCUCUCGCAUCCCCACCGCUUUACAGGAAUAUAUAAAUAACUAAUGCCUCCUUUUUUUGCACUUAUCGAUAAUCCAUAAACAGACAAUGAUCACUUUACGCUAGAUCACCUAACCGCCCAUCAGACUCUUCUUGAGGAAAAGUUUUUCCUUUUUUCCUUCUCCUAAAGAGAGAGUCUCAUCUGUAGUCCGCCGAAUCGUCUGAUGGAAUGGUGUGUGGCGUUUUUGUGGCAGAGAAGGAGGCGGCUGCUUGAGCCGGAGAGGCUCGAGGGUCCUGCGGACCAAUGACCGAUGACCCGCAGGCCUUUUAAAUCGCUGCAACACUCCGACAGGGACUUUAAAUGUGUCUAAUGUUCCCCGUGGGGACUUUAUAGCGACGUGGUGGUAAAUGAAAAGUCCUGCUGGCUGGCAGCGGGGGUGUGUCGCUCCCUUGGCAGCGCUGAGGAUGUCAACACCAUCACCAUCAACAAUAGGACGGACUGGAAGCCAUCCCCUCACAUCUUCUGACCCAGACACACCAAGCCUUGGCAAGAAAAAACACCGCCUUCUGUUACAAUCAGUGCUGGGAUGAAGAAGAAGAUGAUGAUGAUAAUGAUGAUGAUCCCACUAUGACUGUGGUUCACUACUAGGAAGGAAGAGAUGUUAUGAUAUUAAUCACAUGUGGGAGGUUAACAAAAAAUAUCUGCAUGAAAUAUUUUUAUAUAAAAGAUUAUUGUGUUAUGAAAGAGUAACAGUGUAGAUACAUGACGAGCGAGAGACGGGUGUGGCAUGCAACAAAAGUCCACAAAGAAGUUAUUCUAUAUUUUUCUUAUUGCCAACUAAUGUUGUGUAAAGACACGAAGACGAAGGAAAAGCAAAAUGAUUUAUUGGAUCAAACUGAGAGAAUAGAUCGACCGUAAAAAUGUAAUUCCCACACAUAUACUUCUUCUUCUUGUUUUCUGUAUUGCUUUGGAUCACGGUUUGUUUGUUUGGCUACAUAUUCAUCUGUAGGUUUUAUAUGUUAUAAAUGUUGAAAUCAUCAAUGAAAACUAAACUGAAAAAAAGGGGCCAGAA